GGCCCUGCCGAUGCCGGGGGCGAGUUUUGAGCGCAAAGACGCACACUCUCUGCAAUGGUCACUUGGGUUGCAUUAACCACUUAACAUCUUACAAGGCUUCCCAAAUUAAUCUACCUCCGCCUGGAAACUAAGCACAGGGAGCAAGAUGGUGUCCCUCGUGUCAAGUAGUGACAUAAUCAGAAAAGCAACUAUGACCAGAUAUCACCAAAACUAGUAUAGACUGGGAGUACUAAGGACUAAUAACCCAUAAGGCCUGGAAGAACUAGGAGCUGAUUAAUCACUAGAACCAAAAGAGGCCUGCAAAGCUCAAGACUGAUUAAACUGUAAAAAGGAAAAAAAAGUAAUAAAUACAUAAAUACAUAAGUAAAUAAACUGUAAAAAGGGAGGAUUUCUGCAGCAAACUGCCAGACUCUCUGAGUGCUGACCCUUCCUCAUCUGACCACAUCAAAAGGCAACUGCUGCUGAAGACUGCCUGAUUGAUCUCCCAACAUAAUAAAGCUCCUCCACUUUUUAAACAUUAAGCAGUAAGUGCCUAGAGCUGGCCCACACCUGACCAAGUCCUCAUCUUAACUGUGCUCACAGACUGACUUGCUUUGUUUCAUUAACUUCUUACCCUUAUUGUAUCUUGUUUGUUGCAUAACUUUGUAUUGUACUUUGUGUGAUGUAUAUGAAGCCAAGUUAAAUACAUAGUGAAAUGUCAUUGAGUUUAGAA
Molecule: long non-coding RNA, 712 nt
Organism: Canis lupus familiaris (dog)
Lineage: Eukaryota; Metazoa; Chordata; Mammalia; Carnivora; Canidae
Exons: 2
Source: RefSeq, a predicted model, not a curated record